GACGAACGCUGGCGGCGUGCUUAACACAUGCAAGUCGAACGGAAAGGCCCUGCUUUUGUGGGGUGCUCGAGUGGCGAACGGGUGAGUAACACGUGAGUAACCUGCCCUUGACUUUGGGAUAACUUCAGGAAACUGGGGCUAAUACCGGAUAGGAGCUCCUGCUGCAUGGUGGGGGUUGGAAAGUUUCGGCGGUUGGGGAUGGACUCGCGGCUUAUCAGCUUGUUGGUGGGGUAGUGGCUUACCAAGGCUUUGACGGGUAGCCGGCCUGAGAGGGUGGCCGGGCCCACUGGGAAUGGGGUACGGGCCCGAAUCCCUCGGGAGGGAGGAGGGGGGAAUAUUGCACAAUGGGGGGGAAGCCUAUGCAGGGAACCCGCGUGGGGGGAGAAGGGCCUUGGGGUGUAAACCCCUUUUCGCCUGGAAGAAAGGGUAGUGACGGGAAAUGGGGAAAAAACCACCGGCAAAUAAGGG
Molecule: ribosomal RNA, 468 nt
Filed under: uncultured bacterium
Lineage: Bacteria
Description: partial 16S ribosomal RNA
Rfam family: Bacterial small subunit ribosomal RNA
Source: RNAcentral